UACACUCCUGCGGGAGGCAGCAGUGGGGAAUAUUGCACAAUGGGCGCAAGCCUGAUGCAGCCAUGCCGCGUGUAUGAAGAAGGCCUUCGGGUUGUAAAGUACUUUCAGCGGGGAGGAAGGCGAUAAGGUUAAUAACCUUGUCGAUUGACGUUACCCGCAGAAGAAGCACCGGCUAACUCCGUGCCAGCAGCCGCGGUAAUACGGAGGGUGCAAGCGUUAAUCGGAAUUACUGGGCGUAAAGCGCACGCAGGCGGUCUGUCAAGUCGGAUGUGAAAUCCCCGGGCUCAACCUGGGAACUGCAUUCGAAACUGGCAGGCUAGAGUCUUGUAGAGGGGGGUAGAAUUCCAGGUGUAGCGGUGAAAUGCGUAGAGAUCUGGAGGAAUACCGGUGGCGAAGGCGGCCCCCUGGACAAAGACUGACGCUCAGGUGCGAAAGCGUGGGGAGCAAACAGGAUUAGAAACCCGUGUAGUCCC
Molecule: ribosomal RNA, 473 nt
Filed under: uncultured organism
Description: partial 16S ribosomal RNA
Rfam family: Bacterial small subunit ribosomal RNA
Source: RNAcentral